Molecule: transfer RNA, 73 nt
Filed under: Acidobacteriota bacterium
Lineage: Bacteria; Pseudomonadati; Acidobacteriota
Also listed under: 2 other names
Description: Acidobacteria bacterium (groundwater metagenome) tRNA-Lys
Rfam family: tRNA
About the family: Transfer RNA (tRNA) molecules are approximately 80 nucleotides in length.
Source: RNAcentral
GGGCCGGUAGCUCAAGCGGUAGAGCAUUGCCCUUUUAAGGCAAGGGUUCUGGGUUCGAGUCCCAGCCGGCUCA